UUGAGUGCCACCAAUUACGCCAGAGAUGUGAAGAUCCAGGUCUCUAAAGAGGCUUUGGGAGGUAUACCCCUGUGGAUCAUUAUAGUCAGUAUCCUAAUAGGACUGAUGAUUCUGGCACUGGUCAUCUUCGCUCUAUGGAAGGCUGGAUUUUUCAAGAGAAAAUCCAUAGAGGACAUGGAGAACGAGGACAUGAAGGAUUAAUCCUUCCACCACCAUACAGAUGUGCCCCACUGUCUUCAGGUCUGUCUUCAGGUCAGUCAGAGGAGAUACCAUAGGAAAUACCCCAUCAACCAAUUCUCCUGAACACCAUCAGGUCAGAAGAAAAGCCAGUCUAUUUAUGGCUAUUCAACAACCAUUCACCUGAAUGUGAUGUGGCCCAUCUACCAGUCUUAAAACCCUGGUCUGAUUCAGUGGAUACGGAGGCCUGGGGAAACAUUGAACUUGUACAGUACACUCUAUUCAAUGUGGGUACCAAGACCUGGACUUAAAAUACCUAAGCUAGAAGGGAAAUCAGAAGACCAUAAGGAUAAUGGCACGCUGACUCAGACCUGAUCAUAUGCAGCCACACCAGCUUUAUACAAAACGUUCUCAGGUUCACUUACAGCGUCAACAUCCCAAAGACACUAAAAACACCUCAGAUUACAGUAUGGCAUUACACCAAAGUUGUCCAAAUGUCCAAGGCACUCUGCGAUGGAUUAGAAUUCUGUGUUAAAAGUUUUUGAUAUUUUUUACAAAUAUACUGUAAAUCUAUACCAUGUACUGUAUUUAUUUUUGUUUGGUAUAUUUUGAUACGUGUUAUUACCUAUAUUUUAACAUAUUCAUCGUCUUCUAAGCAUAAUGUUUGCUUUUUGGAACACUGAUAUUUUCACAUGAGUGUUUUUCUGGUCUUACAAGAGCAAUCUGUAAAUUCUAUUUAUUUUUUUUGAACAAAAGUGUUCUCUUGAAUAUUGAAGGGGUCUAUGCAAAUGUUCCCUCCCCAAAUAUAUAUUCAGUAUAAAAGAAGAGGAGGAAUAGAUGCAUUUGCUAUUGACUUAAAUACAACGGCUUUAAUCUAGUUUUUGUUUCAUUUUGUUACCACAUGGGGGCAGAGAAUUUACAGAUUGCUCCUUUACAGUAUUAGGAAAAACUUUGAUUGUCCUGUAAAUGUAAUGUAAAGCUUGUACAUAAAGUUAUGUUUGCAAUAAUUCCUAUAAUUGAAGAUCAAGUUAAGUCCAGCAUGUAUCACCAAGGCUCUAUAUAUCAGUAAUAGAGAUAAAAUAAGUAAUUUGCUCCUACAUUUCUCAGGUAUUACUUAUGAUAUAGUAUGAUGAUAUUAUGGUGAUAGUAUGGUGAUAUUAUGGUGAUAGUAUGGUGAUAGUAAGGGGAUAAUUUGAUGAUAGAAUGAUGAUAGUAAGGUGAUAGUAUGGCGAUAGUAUGAAUUAGAUAAAACAAACAAAUGUAGUAUUUUUAAAUAAAAUACUUUAAAAACAAUAUGAAAAUAUGUAAAUAUUGGUCUUAUAUUUUGAUAAAAAUUGAAAUGUUUGAUAAAUGUGUAUUGGAACUCAAUGCAUUUUGCAUCCAUUCGCUAAGAUGUUUUUUUUGGGACUCAUCUUUCUUUCUGUUUUUUGUUUUGGGGCGAGAGUGAUUUCGUGAGGUAGUCUACAGUCACAUAGAGUAAUCCAAAAAGUAUCUCAGCGGAGUGUAACUUGAUUCCUGAUGUUCAAACCUGUCAGUACCACAAAACAAAGAGAUGUUUGUCUCAGAGAAGGUCAAACUCUGCAAACUAGGCCAUUGAAUGUUACACACAGGGGGUGGUCUGAUAUGCAUAUGAACACCAGGUUAUGCCUAAAGCCCUGUAGUCUCUGUUAUGGCCGGAGUGCUAGCGACUGUCAUGAUUGUGAGUAGAAAUGUUUUAUUUAUGCAUCCUUUCUGCUUUCUCUCCGCCUACAUUCCUCUGCAUAUUUACAUAUUUUGCACAGGCAGUCCGGUGUGACCCCUGACUUUUUAUUGUAUAUAAGAGACACUCAUCAGCUCACCCAUUACUGUUGAAAGCACAUGUAAUAAAUGAAUAAAUAUCUGUAAAAUGUGUAAGAUAACCUUAACAUGGUGAUCCUCCAUACUGUCCCCUUCUGGAGAGCUUAUUUGUCACAGCUCAGCAGUGAUAGAGUCAGCUGAUCAAGGCUUUGAAGAUUUGAUUGCUGAUGAAUUAAAUUGGAACCCAGAACCAAAUCUUGUGUGCUGUCCAGCUAUGCAACUUGACAUGUAUUAUAAUGUAUGUUCAUGUGUUAACAGUCUGUCACAGGAUUUUGUUUGUUGUAUCAGGUGUGAUGGCACAUGUGGGACAAAAACCUACUGUACUUUGACGAGAGAGAGAGAGAGAGAGAGAGAGAGAGAGAGGACUGCUUCAGACUGAUGUACUCCAGUCAUACACACUGCUGUGAACUGUUAGUUUAAUACACUGGUUUGUCAUGUGUAUGUACUCUGAUCAGUACAGAUUUGAAAGCAUUGCACAAGCUGUCAAGGAUCUUAUGCCAAUAAAUACAUUUUUAAAAAGUAA
Salvelinus sp. IW2-2015 is the source of this 2536-nucleotide non-coding RNA. The record is from RefSeq and is a predicted model, not a curated record. NCBI's taxonomy places the organism in Eukaryota, Metazoa, Chordata, Actinopteri, Salmoniformes, Salmonidae.